GACGAACGCUGGCGGCGUGCUUAACACAUGCAAGUCGAACGGAAAGGCCUGCUUUCCCUUGUGGAUUGCGGGUACUCGAGUGGCGAACGGGUGAGUAACACGUGAGUGAUCUGCCCCCAACUUGGGUAUAAGCCUGGGAAACUGGGUCUAAUUCCCGAUAGGACUGCAGGGUGGUGCCUGUGGUGGAAAACGAUUUUCUAGUGGUUGGGGAUGAGCUCGCGGCCUAUCAGCUUGUUGGUGGGGUAAUGGCCUACCAAGGCGGCGACGGGUAGCCGGCCUGGGAGGGGUGGCCGGGCAAUUGGGGAAGGGGGUACGCCCCGAAGCACAAGGGGGGGAAGAAGGGGGAAUAUUGCACAAUGGGCGGAAGCCUGAUGCAGCGACGCCGCGUGGGGGAUGACGGCCUUCGGGUGGUAAACUCCUUUCGACCGCGAGGAAGCCACCUGGUUGGAAGGGUGGUGACGGUAGUGGUAGAAGAAGCACCGGCUAACUACGUG
This 494-nucleotide ribosomal RNA is filed under the name uncultured bacterium. Its description in RNAcentral is "partial 16S ribosomal RNA". It matches the Rfam family "Bacterial small subunit ribosomal RNA", at positions 28 to 507 of the family's 1533-position model. The record is from RNAcentral.